RNAcentral lists this ribosomal RNA (332 nucleotides) under uncultured bacterium. RNAcentral's name for it is "bacterial SSU rRNA". It matches the Rfam family "Bacterial small subunit ribosomal RNA", at positions 568 to 898 of the family's 1533-position model. The record is from RNAcentral.
CGCGUAGGUGGUUCUUCAAGUCAGAUGUUAAAUCUCCCGGCUUAACUGGGAGCAAUCAUCUGAUACUGCUGGACUUGAGGGCGGUAGAGGGAGGUGGAAUUCCCGGUGUAGUGGUGAAAUGCGUAGAUAUCGGGAGGAACACCAGUGGCGAAAGCGGCCUCCUAGGCCGUUCCUGACACUGAGGCGCGAAAGCGUGGGGAGCGAACAGGAUCAGAUACCCUGGUAGUCCACGCCCUAAACUGUGGAAACUAGGUACAGGGAGUAUCGACCCUUCCUGCGCCGUAGCUAACGCGUUAAGUUUCCCGCCUGGGGACUACGGUCGCAAGACUAAA